GGGGGGCUGGAGGGUACAAAAGGAGGGAGCUGGCUUUCCCAGCGCAGAGACAGAGAAGCAGGAGCAGAGGAGGAAGGAGCAGGGAGAGGUCUGAGGGGAGAUCUGAAGGGAGGUCCCGUCGGGGCAGGACGAAGGGAGAGGUAACGCUAGGAAAGAUGACAACUCGAAAGGGAGGCAGGGCAAAUGAAGCAGCCGGACACACAGAGAGAGAAAAGACAGAGGAUCCGCUUAGGGGAUGCACAUAAAGGAAAGACAACGAUGGUUUCUCUGCGUGUGACUACGAAGAUGGGAUGAAGAAGAUACCAGUGAAAAGAAAAGGAGUAAACAAGAAAAGAGAAUGAGUAAGGAGACCAAAUAAGGACUGAGUGCCCAAGGACAGGUCAAGUGCUUAGAAAAUCACCCAGCUGGUUAGGCUGGGCUGGGAGAAGGGCCAUAGCCGGACCCGAAAGGGGACCAUCAGAAAGACAGAGGCAGGCCAUUGAAGUAGCCAGUGACGGAGGUAAAAAUGAAAAAAAAAAAAAAAAAAAAAAAAAAAAAGAAAGAAAAAUCCAUGCUCUAAACACCUUAAUGGGGAUGAGGCUGCCAGGGAAGAAGGCACGGAGAGAAGGGACCCGCCGGCAACUUUUCCCCAGGCUUGGACCAGCGAUGCUUGGGCGGUACCCAGGAAUCCUCAC
RNAcentral lists this long non-coding RNA (674 nucleotides) under Sus scrofa (pig). RNAcentral describes it as "lncRNA (ENSSSCG00070020136.1)". The record is from RNAcentral. Lineage: Eukaryota; Metazoa; Chordata; Mammalia; Artiodactyla; Suidae.